GAUGAACGCUGGCGGCGUGCCUAAUACAUGCAAGUCGAGCGAACAGAUGAGGAGCUUGCUCCUCUGACGUUAGCGGCGGACGGGUGAGUAACACGUGGAUAACCUACCUAUAAGACUGGGAUAACUUCGGGAAACCGGAGCUAAUACCGGAUAAUAUAUUGAACCGCAUGGUUCAAUAGUGAAAGACGGUUUUGCUGUCACUUCUAGAUGGAUCCGCGCCGCAUUAGCUAGUUGGUAAGGUAACGGCUUACCAAGGCAACGAUGCGUAGCCGACCUGAGAGGGUGAUCGGCCACACUGGAACUGAGACACGGUCCAGACUCCUACGGGAGGCAGCAGUAGGGAAUCUUCCGCAAAGGGCGAAAGCCUGACGGAGCAACGCCGCGUGAGUGAUGAAGGUCUUCGGAUCGUAAAACUCUGUUAUUAGGGAAGAACAAAUGUGUAAGUAACUAUGCACGUCUUGACGGUACCUAAUCAGAAAGCCACGGCUAACUACGUG
RNAcentral lists this ribosomal RNA (497 nucleotides) under uncultured bacterium. Its description in RNAcentral is "partial 16S ribosomal RNA". It matches the Rfam family "Bacterial small subunit ribosomal RNA", at positions 28 to 507 of the family's 1533-position model. The record is from RNAcentral.